RNAcentral lists this ribosomal RNA (497 nucleotides) under uncultured bacterium. RNAcentral describes it as "partial 16S ribosomal RNA". It matches the Rfam family "Bacterial small subunit ribosomal RNA", at positions 28 to 507 of the family's 1533-position model. The record is from RNAcentral.
GAUGAACGCUGGCGGCGUGCCUAAUACAUGCAAGUCGAGCGAACGGACGAGGAGCUUGCUUCUCUGACGUUAGCGGCGGACGGGUGAGUAACACGUGGAUAACCUACCUAUAAGACUGGGAUAACUUCGGGAAACCGGAGCUAAUACCGGAUAAUAUCUUGAACCGCAUGGUUCAAUAGUGAAAGACGGUCUUGCUGUCACUUAUAGAUGGAUCCGCGCUGCAUUAGCUGGUUGGUAAGGUAACGGCUUACCAAGGCAACGAUGCGUAGCCGACCUGAGAGGGUGAUCGGCGACCCUGGAGCUGGAACACGGUCCAGACUCCUGCGGGAGGCCGCAGUAGGGAAUCUUCGGCAGAGGGCGAAAACCUGGCGGAGCAACGCCGCGUGAGUGGUGGAGGUCUUCGGUGCGGAAAACUCGGUUAUUAGGGAAAAACAUAUGUGUAAGGAAAUGAGCACAUCGUGACGGUACCUAAUCAAAAAGCCACGGCUAACUACGUG